CAGGGAGACAACAAAAUGUUUAAUAUUAUUAUUUUGUCACCUUAGGUCGAUCGGUAUCUCACGUUCUUAAUUUGUUAAGAAUUUCAUUUCCUAAGUUUUUCUAGGUCACACCCAUUAUUUUUCCUGGGCCAUUAGCUCAGGUGGUUAGAGCGCACCCCUGAUAAGGGUGAGGUCCCUGGUUCAAGUCCAGGAUGGCCCAUAUCUCUAUGUUGGGGGUAUAGCUCAGUUGGUAGAGCGCCUGCUUUGCAAGCAGGAUGUCAGCGGUUCGAGUCCGCUUACCUCCACUGAUUACCACCUCUUCCAUAACCGGUAGAAAGGAAAUGUUUUGAGUUGUGAUCAUUAUUCUGAACGAAUCUAGCUUCCUAAUGAAAUCAUUAAGAUGCUGGACUCAUUGAAUUAAUUUCAUUGUUUUCAGAGAACCUUGACAACUGCAUAGAUUUUUUUAAAGACAAUAAGCAUCUUUAAUGAUGCAGAUUUAUUAUUUGUGCGAAUGCAUUAAUAACAAUUCUAUUAAGCUGAUGCUUCAAUUUUUGAAGUUAUU
This 541-nucleotide transfer RNA is filed under the name uncultured cyanobacterium. Its description in RNAcentral is "partial 16S-23S ribosomal RNA intergenic spacer". The stretch from base 212 to 284 matches the Rfam family "tRNA". Lineage: Bacteria; Bacillati; Cyanobacteriota. The record is from RNAcentral.